GGUUAAGCGACUAAGCGUACACGGUGGAUGCCCUGGCAGUCAGAGGCGAUGAAGGACGUGCUAAUCUGCGAUAAGCGUCGGUAAGGUGAUAUGAACCGUUAUAACCGGCGAUUUCCGAAUGGGGAAACCCAGUGUGUUUCGACACACUAUCAUUAACUGAAUCCAUAGGUUAAUGAGGCGAACCGGGGGAACUGAAACAUCUAAGUACCCCGAGGAAAAGAAAUCAACCGAGAUUCCCCCAGUAGCGGCGAGCGAACGGGGAGGAGCCCAGAGCCUGAAUCAGUGUGUGUGUUAGUGGAAGCGUCUGGAAAGGCGCGCGAUACAGGGUGACAGCCCCGUACACAAAAAUGCACAUGCUGUGAGCUCGAUGAGUAGGGCGGGACACGUGGUAUCCUGUCUGAAUAUGGGGGGACCAUCCUCCAAGGCUAAAUACUCCUGACUGACCGAUAGUGAACCAGUACCGUGAGGGAAAGGCGAAAAGAACCCCGGCGAGGGGAGUGAAAAAGAACCUGAAACCGUGUACGUACAAGCAGUGGGAGCCCUGAUUUAUCAGGGUGACUGCGUACCUUUUGUAUAAUGGGUCAGCGACUUAUAUUCUGUAGCAAGGUUAACCGAAUAGGGGAGCCGGAGGGAAACCGAGUCUUAACUGGGCGUUAAGUUGCAGGGUAUAGACCCGAAACCCGGUGAUCUAGCCAUGGGCAGGUUGAAGGUUGGGUAACACUAACUGGAGGACCGAACCGACUAAUGUUGAAAAAUUAGCGGAUGACUUGUGGCUGGGGGUGAAAGGCCAAUCAAACCGGGAGAUAGCUGGUUCUCCCCGAAAGCUAUUUAGGUAGCGCCUCGUGAAUUCAUCUCCGGGGGUAGAGCACUGUUUCGGCAAGGGGGUCAUCCCGACUUACCAACCCGAUGCAAACUGCGAAUACCGGAGAAUGUUAUCACGGGAGACACACGGCGGGUGCUAACGUCCGUCGUGAAGAGGGAAACAACCCAGACCGCCAGCUAAGGUCCCAAAGUCAUGGUUAAGUGGGAAACGAUGUGGGAAGGCCCAGACAGCCAGGAUGUUGGCUUAGAAGCAGCCAUCAUUUAAAGAAAGCGUAAUAGCUCACUGGUCGAGUCGGCCUGCGCGGAAGAUGUAACGGGGCUAAACCAUGCACCGAAGCUGCGGCAGCGACACUGUGUGUUGUUGGGUAGGGGAGCGUUCUGUAAGCCUGUGAAGGUGGCCUGUGAGGGUUGCUGGAGGUAUCAGAAGUGCGAAUGCUGACAUAAGUAACGAUAAAGCGGGUGAAAAGCCCGCUCGCCGGAAGACCAAGGGUUCCUGUCCAACGUUAAUCGGGGCAGGGUGAGUCGACCCCUAAGGCGAGGCCGAAAGGCGUAGUCGAUGGGAAACAGGUUAAUAUUCCUGUACUUGGUGUUACUGCGAAGGGGGGACGGAGAAGGCUAUGUUGGCCGGGCGACGGUUGUCCCGGUUUAAGCGUGUAGGCUGGUUUUCCAGGCAAAUCCGGAAAACUAAGGCUGAGGCGUGAUGACGAGGCACUACGGUGCUGAAGCAACAAAUGCCCUGCUUCCAGGAAAAGCCUCUAAGCAUCAGGUAACAUCAAAUCGUACCCCAAACCGACACAGGUGGUCAGGUAGAGAAUACCAAGGCGCUUGAGAGAACUCGGGUGAAGGAACUAGGCAAAAUGGUGCCGUAACUUCGGGAGAAGGCACGCUGAUGGUAGGUGAAGCGACUUGCUCGUGGAGCUGAAAUCAGUCGAAGAUACCAGCUGGCUGCAACUGUUUAUUAAAAACACAGCACUGUGCAAACACGAAAGUGGACGUAUACGGUGUGACGCCUGCCCGGUGCCGGAAGGUUAAUUGAUGGGGUCAGCGCAAGCGAAGCUCUUGAUCGAAGCCCCGGUAAACGGCGGCCGUAACUAUAACGGUCCUAAGGUAGCGAAAUUCCUUGUCGGGUAAGUUCCGACCUGCACGAAUGGCGUAAUGAUGGCCAGGCUGUCUCCACCCGAGACUCAGUGAAAUUGAACUCGCUGUGAAGAUGCAGUGUACCCGCGGCAAGACGGAAAGACCCCGUGAACCUUUACUAUAGCUUGACACUGAACACUGGUCCUUGAUGUGUAGGAUAGGUGGGAGGCUUUGAAGUGUGGACGCCAGUCUGCAUGGAGCCGUCCUUGAAAUACCACCCUUUAAUGGCUGGUGUUCUAACGUUGGCCCGUAAUCCGGGUUGCGGACAGUGUCUGGUGGGUAGUUUGACUGGGGCGGUCUCCUCCUAAAGAGUAACGGAGGAGCACGAAGGUUGGCUAAUCCUGGUCGGACAUCAGGAGGUUAGUGCAAUGGCAUAAGCCAGCUUGACUGCGAGCGUGACGGCGCGAGCAGGUGCGAAAGCAGGUCAUAGUGAUCCGGUGGUUCUGAAUGGAAGGGCCAUCGCUCAACGGAUAAAAGGUACUCCGGGGAUAACAGGCUGAUACCGCCCAAGAGUUCAUAUCGACGGCGGUGUUUGGCACCUCGAUGUCGGCUCAUCACAUCCUGGGGCUGAAGUAGGUCCCAAGGGUAUGGCUGUUCGCCAUUUAAAGUGGUACGCGAGCUGGGUUUAGAACGUCGUGAGACAGUUCGGUCCCUAUCUGCCGUGGGCGCUGGAGAACUGAGGGGGGCUGCUCCUAGUACGAGAGGACCGGAGUGGACGCAUCACUGGUGUUCGGGUUGUCAUGCCAAUGGCACUGCCCGGUAGCUAAAUGCGGAAGAGAUAAGUGCUGAAAGCAUCUAAGCACGAAACUUGCCCCGAGAUGAGUUCUCCCUGAGACUUUAAGUCUCCUGAAGGAACGUUGAAGACGACGACGUUGAUAGGCCGGGUGUGUAAGCGCAGCGAUGCGUUGAGCUAACCGGUACUAAUGAACCGUGAGGCUUAACCUU
RNAcentral lists this ribosomal RNA (2904 nucleotides) under Escherichia albertii. RNAcentral describes it as "23S ribosomal RNA". It matches the Rfam family "Bacterial large subunit ribosomal RNA". Lineage: Bacteria; Pseudomonadati; Pseudomonadota; Gammaproteobacteria; Enterobacterales; Enterobacteriaceae. The record is from RNAcentral.